AGACGUCUACAUUAGACUACCCCCGUAGUCCCAGCCGUAAACUAUGCGCGUUAGGUGUAUCGGUGACCACGAGUCACCGAGGUGCCGAAGGGAAACCGUGAAACGUGCCGCCGUGGGAAGUACGGUCGCAAGGCUGAAACUUAAAGGAAUUGGCGGGGAGCACCACAACGGGUGGAGCCUGCGGUUUAAUUGGACUCAACGCCGGGAAGCUCACCGGAUAAGACAGCGGAAUGAUUGCCGGGCUGAAGACUCUGCAUGACUAGCUG
Molecule: ribosomal RNA, 266 nt
Filed under: uncultured archaeon
Lineage: Archaea
Description: partial 16S ribosomal RNA
Rfam family: Archaeal small subunit ribosomal RNA
Source: RNAcentral